This is a long non-coding RNA of Meriones unguiculatus (Mongolian gerbil), 596 nucleotides long. The record is from Ensembl. Lineage: Eukaryota; Metazoa; Chordata; Mammalia; Rodentia; Muridae.
GCCCUGACGGAUGAAGGAGUUCCUAGGAUGCCCUUCACAGUCACCAGAAGUGACCGGCCCAGGAAGGUGUCCUGCAGAAACUUUGGGGCAAAAGAUGGACUCUCCAAAAACAAAUCCCAAAGCCCGGAGAAACAGCAUUGUGACUGGGAAGGAACAAGCGUGAUCUAGAGUGGACUCCUUUCUUAAUCCUGGUAUAUUGUUCCAUUGGGUGCACAGCUUGUGAAGAUUCAUUGAGGUAUAUACACUGAUAAUGGGGGAUUUAUUUCUUGUAUUUUAAAAGCUUCAAGAUUUGUUUAAAAAAAAAAAAAGACCUUGAGCCAAGUGCAGUGACUCAAGUACAUCUAUAAUCUAUCACAUAGGAAAGAGAAAGCAACUCAAGUUCAAAGCCAGACCUCUUAAAAAUAUUAAAAUGCCUUCAUAGAUCUUUGGGGUGAAACCUUCAUUCCUACCAGACCACUGAGCCCUUGGAGACCUAUAGACUUGGAUUUUUCACCAAACCUACUGUAUUUAGGGUUCUUAAACGGUUAAACCUCCUCUCCACCCACUAACCAGAGGCAGGGGAGAAAGAUUAUUAGGUAAAGGGGGUUGUAGACCUU